AAUGUUGGACCGACGACACAAGACCUCAGACUUGUGUUAUUCUAGCAGCUGAACACACCUCAGGCUCUUCCGACCGGCAGUGGCUCUGGAAGCAGUCUGGUCUAUAGAGUUAUGGAUUCACUACCAGAUUCUACUGUAUGCUCUGACAACUAUGACCACAAUGGUCCACCCACAAAUGAAUUAUCAGGAGUGAACCCAGAGGCACGUAUGAAUGAAAGGU
Gorilla gorilla gorilla (western lowland gorilla) is the source of this 220-nucleotide long non-coding RNA. RefSeq lists it as uncharacterized. Lineage: Eukaryota; Metazoa; Chordata; Mammalia; Primates; Hominidae. The record is from RefSeq and is a predicted model, not a curated record. The transcript is spliced from 3 exons.